GAUCCCUGGCUCAGGAUGAACGCUAGCUACAGGCUUAACACAUGCAAGUCGAGGGGCAGCAUGGUCUUAGCUUGCUAAGGCUGAUGGCGACCGGCGCACGGGUGAGUAACACGUAUCCAACCUGCCGUCUACUCUUGGCCAGCCUUCUGAAAGGAAGAUUAAUCCAGGAUGGGAUCAUGAGUUCACAUGUCCGCAUGAUUAAAGGUAUUUUCCGGUAGACGAUGGGG
This 227-nucleotide ribosomal RNA is filed under the name uncultured bacterium. RNAcentral's name for it is "partial 16S ribosomal RNA". It matches the Rfam family "Bacterial small subunit ribosomal RNA", at positions 15 to 230 of the family's 1533-position model. The record is from RNAcentral.